CCUACGGGUGUCAGCAGUGGGGAAUAUUGCACAAUGGGGGAAACCCUGAUGCAGCGACGCCGCGUGAGUGAAGAAGCGUUUCGGCGCGUAAAGCUCUGUCAGCGGGGAAGAAACACGGUUCGCGAGAGCCGCGGACGGUACCCGACCAAGAAGCACCGGCUAACUACGUGCCAGCAGCCGCGGUAAUACGUAGGGGGCAAGCGUUAUCCGGAUUCACUGGGUGUAAAGGGAGCGUAGACGGCGAGACAAGUCUGGAGUGAAAGGCAGGGGCACCACCCCGGGACUGCGCUGGAAACUUCCUGGCUGGAGUACAGGAGAGGUAAGUGGAAUUCCUAGUGUAGUGGUGAAAUGCGUAGAUAUUAGGAGGAACACCAGUGGCGAAGGCGGAUUACUGGACGAUAACUGACGGUGAGGCACGAAAGCGUGGGGAGCAAACAGGAUUAGAUACCCGAGUAGUC
This 458-nucleotide ribosomal RNA is filed under the name uncultured bacterium. RNAcentral describes it as "partial 16S ribosomal RNA". It matches the Rfam family "Bacterial small subunit ribosomal RNA", at positions 338 to 795 of the family's 1533-position model. The record is from RNAcentral.